Molecule: small nucleolar RNA, 107 nt
Organism: Hibiscus syriacus
Lineage: Eukaryota; Viridiplantae; Streptophyta; Magnoliopsida; Malvales; Malvaceae
Source: RefSeq, a predicted model, not a curated record
AAACCAUGCGUCGGGCAGUUGCAAAGUAAAUCCUUGAAAUGUUCCCAAGCUUCAUACAAUUUCUUAUUCUCUAUUUGUUUAAAUGAUGUGAUAUCAUUCCUUAGCUU